Molecule: transfer RNA, 72 nt
Organism: Camelus ferus (Wild Bactrian camel)
Lineage: Eukaryota; Metazoa; Chordata; Mammalia; Artiodactyla; Camelidae
Rfam family: tRNA
About the family: Transfer RNA (tRNA) molecules are approximately 80 nucleotides in length. Their secondary structure includes four short double-helical elements and three loops (D, anti-codon, and T loops). Further hydrogen bonds mediate the characteristic L-shaped molecular structure. tRNAs have two regions of fundamental functional importance: the anti-codon, which is responsible for specific mRNA codon recognition, and the 3' end, to which the tRNAs corresponding amino acid is attached (by aminoacyl-tRNA synthetases). tRNAs cope with the degeneracy of the genetic code in two manners: having more than one tRNA (with a specific anti-codon) for a particular amino acid; and 'wobble' base-pairing, i.e. permitting non-standard base-pairing at the 3rd anti-codon position.
Source: Rfam
GAGGGUAUAGCUCAGUGGUGGGGUGCAUGCUUAACAUGCACGAGGUCAUGGGUUCAAUCCCCAGUACAUUCA